UCAACAUAAUAUCGAAGGCGUCUCGACUCAAGCUAAACUGGGACUUCACGGCCAUUAGACGUGCAAUGGCAUCCAGUUGAGACACCUUGGUAUGCCCGUGAAGGGGUUGCUGUGCCGCAGACAACAUGUCGUAAUACGCCUUUGCGGUAGCCUCGGGCUCCUCCUCCCUACGAGCUUCAUGAUAGUCAUCUAACAUGUCUCCCACCCCGGCCUCAUCAUCAUAUUCCUCGAUACGUUGUCUG
RNAcentral lists this long non-coding RNA (242 nucleotides) under Setaria viridis. RNAcentral describes it as "long non-coding RNA (SVIR_LNC009099)". The record is from RNAcentral. Lineage: Eukaryota; Viridiplantae; Streptophyta; Magnoliopsida; Poales; Poaceae.